GCACUCCUAAGACUGUACCGAUCUGCCUC
RNAcentral lists this non-coding RNA (29 nucleotides) under Rattus norvegicus (Norway rat). Lineage: Eukaryota; Metazoa; Chordata; Mammalia; Rodentia; Muridae. The record is from RNAcentral.